UCGAGGCGUUCGAAUUCGAUAGCUAGUGUAGUAGACUACCAUGUCCGAUCAGUACCGGUUCGAGAGAAUGAUCGCACACCUGGACUGAGACACGUCCAGACUCUACGGGAGGCAGCAGUGGGGAAUUUGACAUGGACGCAGCCUGAUCCAGCAUGCCGCGUGUUCUGAGAAGGCCUUCGGGUUGUAAAGGACUUUUGUCAGGGAAGAAAAGGCUGUGCUAAUACCGACAGCUGAUGACGGUACCUGAAGAAUAAGCACCGGCUAACUACGUGCCAGCAGCCGCGGUAAUACGUAGGGUGCGAGCGUUAAUCGGAAUUACUGGGCGUAAAGCGAGCGCAGACGGUUACUUAAGCAGGAUGUGAAAUCCCCGGGCUCAACCUGGGAACUGCGUUCUGAACUGGGUGACUAGAGUGUGUCAGAGGGAGGUAGAAUUCCACGUGUAGCAGUGAAAUGCGUAGAGAUGUGGAGGAAUACCGAUGGCGAAGGCAGCCUCCUGGGAUAACACUGACGUUCAUGCUCGAAAGCGUGGGUAGCAAACAGGAUUAGAUACCCUGGUAGUCCACGCCCUAAACGAUGUCAAUUAGCUGUUGGGCAACUUGAUUGCUUAGUAGCGUAGCUAACGCGUGAAAUUGACCGCCUGGGGAGUACGGUCGCAAGAUUAAAACUCAAAGGAAUUGACGGGGACCCGCACAAGCGGUGGAUGAUGUGGAUUAAUUCGAUGCAACGCGAAGAACCUUACCUGGUCUUGACAUGUACGGAAUCCUCCAGAGACGGAGGAGUGCCUUCGGGAACCGUAACACAGGUGCUGCAUGGCUGUCGUCAGCUCGUGUCGUGAGAUGUUGGGUUAAGUCCCGCAACGAGCGCAACCCUUGUCAUUAGUUGCCAUCAUUUAGUUGGGCACUCUAAUGAGACUGCCGGUGACAAGCCGGAGGAAGGUGGGGAUGACGUCAAGUCCUCAUGGCCCUUAUGACCAGGGCUUCACACGUCAUACAAUGGUCGGUACAGAGGGUAGCCAAGCCGCGAGGUGGAGCCAAUCUCACAAAACCGAUCGUAGUCCGGAUUGCACUCUGCAACUCGAGUGCAUGAAGUCGGAAUCGCUAGUAAUCGCAGGUCAGCAUACUGCGGUGAAUACGUUCCCGGGUCUUGUACACACCGCCCGUCACACCAUGGGAGUGGGGGAUACCAGAAGUAGGUAGGGUAACCGCAAGGAGCCCGCUACCACGUAGCUUAAGGG
Molecule: ribosomal RNA, 1234 nt
Filed under: Neisseria perflava
Lineage: Bacteria; Pseudomonadati; Pseudomonadota; Betaproteobacteria; Neisseriales; Neisseriaceae
Description: bacterial SSU rRNA
Rfam family: Bacterial small subunit ribosomal RNA
Source: RNAcentral